RNAcentral lists this ribosomal RNA (397 nucleotides) under uncultured bacterium. RNAcentral describes it as "partial 16S ribosomal RNA". It matches the Rfam family "Bacterial small subunit ribosomal RNA", at positions 338 to 733 of the family's 1533-position model. The record is from RNAcentral.
CCUACGGGAGGCAGCAGUGAGGAAUAUUGGUCAAUGGCCGCGAGCCUGAACCAGCCAAGCAGCGUGAAGGAUGAAGGUCCUAAGGGUUGUAAACUUCUUUUAUCAAGGAAUAAAGUGAGGCUCGUGUGCCUUAUCGUAGGUACUUUAUGAAAAAGGAUCGGCUAACUCCGUGCCAGCAGCCGCGGUAAUACGGAGGAUGCGAGCGUUAUCCGGAUUUAUUGGGUUUAAAGGGUGCGUAGUUGGGUUGUUAAGUCAGCGGGAAAAGCGCGGGGCUCAACCUUAGAGAGCCAUUGAAACUGGCUGUCUUGAGUACACGAGAGGUAGGCGGAAUGCGCAGUGUAGCGGUGAAAUGCUUAGAUAUUGCGAAGAACUCCGAUUGCGAAGGCAGCAUACUAAA